CGAAGGAUGCAAGCGUUAUCCGGAUUCAUUGGGUUUAAAGGGAGCGUAGGUGGUCUUAUAAGUCAGUGGUGAAAUCUCGCAGCUUAACUGCGAAACUGCCAUUGAUACUGUAGGACUUGAGUAUAGUUGCUGUGGGCGGAAUAUGACAUGUAGUGGUGAAAUACUUAGAGAUGUCAUAGAACACCGAUUGCGAAGGCAGCUCACAAACCUAUAACUGACACUGAGGCUCGAAAGUGCGGGGAUCAAACAGGAUUAGAUACCCUGGUAGUCCGCACUGUAAACGAUGAUUACUCGCUGCUAGAAGGCAACUUUUAGUGGCUUAGCGAAAGCGAUAAGUAAUCCACCUGGGGAGUACGCCGGCAACGGUG
RNAcentral lists this ribosomal RNA (368 nucleotides) under uncultured organism. RNAcentral describes it as "bacterial SSU rRNA". It matches the Rfam family "Bacterial small subunit ribosomal RNA", at positions 526 to 896 of the family's 1533-position model. The record is from RNAcentral.